GCCUCGGCCUCCCAAAGUGCUGGGAUUACAGGCGUGAGCCACCACGCCUGGCUGAAAUCACUUUUAAAAUAUAGGGCAAUGUUAGAUAAAGGUGGAGAAUGCUUUAAAACUGCCAAUCAAAUAGAAAACCAAGGUUUGAAGAGGAUAAAUCAUGAGUAAAAACACCCAGCAAUAAAGGCGUCCAUUGUUAGGUUGAUGUUUUCUUAAGGGCUUUAAGAAAAGAUGAAUUCAUUUUUAUUCUCUAAAGAAAAAAAUGGGUUUUACCUGAUUCUUUUUUUACUUUAAGCAGUAGAAGGACAAACAAGGAAAGUCAGUGUAAUGACAAUGAAGAAACCGAAUGUGUACAGGAAGUGUACAGAAAGACUUUUCAAAUUCCAGUGGGCAAUGGAAUUGCAAACCCCUGCCACAGAACCCACUAUUUUCGACUUGAGUUUGUUAUUUCUGGAUCUGCCUACCAGAGUCCAUAUUCCUCACUGAAGGUGGGGUUUAGGUAAUUGGGCAAUAGCCAAAAGUUUGAGGCUAAAGAUUGGUAUCAGAUUUAUACACUAGAAGGCAAUAUAGAGAAUGGCCUUGGAGAUGCGAAAAGAGAGAUCAGAAGA
Nomascus leucogenys (northern white-cheeked gibbon) is the source of this 599-nucleotide long non-coding RNA. RefSeq lists it as uncharacterized. The record is from RefSeq and is a predicted model, not a curated record. NCBI's taxonomy places the organism in Eukaryota, Metazoa, Chordata, Mammalia, Primates, Hylobatidae. The transcript has 3 exons.